RNAcentral lists this ribosomal RNA (443 nucleotides) under uncultured bacterium. RNAcentral describes it as "partial 16S ribosomal RNA". It matches the Rfam family "Bacterial small subunit ribosomal RNA", at positions 338 to 795 of the family's 1533-position model. The record is from RNAcentral.
UCUACGGGUGGCAGCAGUGGGGAAUAUUGGGCAAUGGGCGCAAGCCUGACCCAGCAACGCCGCGUGAAGGAAGCAGGCUUUCGGGUUGUAAACUUCUUUUCUGAGGGACGACGAAAGUGACGGUACCUCAGGAAUAAGACACGGCUAACUACGUGCCAGCAGCCGCGGUACUAAGUAGGUGGCAAGCGUUAUCCGGAUUUAUUGGGUGUAAAGGGCGUGUGAGCGGGUAAGCAAGUCAGAUGUGAAAACUCAGGGCUCAACCCUGAGCCUGCAUUUGAAACUGUUUUUCUUGAGUGCUGGAGAGGCAAUCGGAAUUCCGUGUGUAGCGGUGAAAUGCGUAGAUAUACGGAGGAACACCAGUGGCGAAGGCGGAUUGCUGGACAGUAACUGACGCUGAGGCGCGAAAGCGUGGGGAGCAAACAGGAUUAGAUACCCCAGUAGUC